RNAcentral lists this long non-coding RNA (272 nucleotides) under Carica papaya (papaya). RNAcentral describes it as "long non-coding RNA (CPAP_LNC012581)". Lineage: Eukaryota; Viridiplantae; Streptophyta; Magnoliopsida; Brassicales; Caricaceae. The record is from RNAcentral.
UGAAGAAGCAUUAAAGAAAUUAAAAUUUUAUGCCUGUGUAAUUGACUUAGGAAGACAAUUGAGUUCUUCAUUGUACACAUUUUUUCAAUACUUUGUUCAUGUUGGAGGCCGUUUUAAAGAAUGUUUUUGUUAGAAAUUUUGACAAUUUUCUUGCUCCCUUUAGAAUUUUACUUUAAGAGUUUUACCCUUUAGAAUCUAAGGAGUCAUAUAAAGGGGACACUAAAAGUUAUAUUAAAACUUCAAACUUUUAAACUUAUAAAGAUUGAUUGAUU